This 599-nucleotide small RNA is filed under the name Pan troglodytes (chimpanzee). RNAcentral describes it as "retained intron". Lineage: Eukaryota; Metazoa; Chordata; Mammalia; Primates; Hominidae. The record is from RNAcentral.
UCUCUCUCCCUUGCUGUACCACCUUCACCACCAUCCAUGCGACCCCAAGAGCCUUAAUGACUCUAGAAGAGACUCCAGGCAGGGGAAGCUGAAAGGACCUUUCACUCCCUACUUUUGGCCAGGGCCUUCUGUGCCACCUGCCAAGGCCAGCAGGCCUACCCUCUGAAGAGGUCCAAGCAACGGAAGUACUACUACGAAGCUGCCUUUCUGGCCAUCCUUGAGAAAAACAGACAGAUGGCCAAGGAGAGGGGCCUAAUAAGCCCCAGUGAUUUUGCCCAGCUGCAAAAAUACAUGGAAUACUCCACCAAAAAGGUCAGUGAUGUCCUAAAGCUCUUCGAGGAUGGCGAGAUGGCUAAAUAUGUCCAAGGAGAUGCCAUUGGGUACGAGGGAUUCCAGCAAUUCCUGAAAAUCUAUCUGGAAGUGGAUAAUGUUCCCAGACACCUAAGCCUGGCACUGUUUCAAUCCUUUGAGACUGGUCACUGCUUAAAUGAGACAAAUGUGACAAAAGAUGUGGUGUGUCUCAAUGAUGUUUCCUGCUACUUUUCCCUUCUGGAGGGUGGUCGGCCAGAAGACAAGUUAGAAUGUGAGUUGCCCUUCUG